GACAGAGGGUGCAAACGUUGUUCGGAAUUACUGGGCGUAAAGCGUGUGUAGGCGGCUACGUAAGUCGGAUGUGAAAGCCCCAGGCUCAACCUGGGAAGUGCACUCGAUACUGCGUAGCUUGAGUAUCGGAGAGGUUGGUGGAAUUCUCGGUGUAGAGGUGAAAUUCGUAGAUAUUCGCAAGAACACCAGUGGCGAAGGCGGCUGACUGGUCCGGUUCUGACGCUGAGGCGCGAAAGCGUGGGGAGCAAACAGG
Molecule: ribosomal RNA, 253 nt
Filed under: uncultured bacterium
Lineage: Bacteria
Description: partial 16S ribosomal RNA
Rfam family: Bacterial small subunit ribosomal RNA
Source: RNAcentral